GGAGAGGUGGCCGAGUGGUUGAAGGCGCGCCCCUGCUAAGGGUGUAUAUGUUAACGCGUAUCGAGGGUUCGAAUCCCUUCCUCUCCGCCA
This 90-nucleotide transfer RNA is filed under the name Hyphomicrobiales bacterium. Its description in RNAcentral is "tRNA-Ser". It matches the Rfam family "tRNA". From Rfam's summary of the family: Transfer RNA (tRNA) molecules are approximately 80 nucleotides in length. Their secondary structure includes four short double-helical elements and three loops (D, anti-codon, and T loops). The record is from RNAcentral. Lineage: Bacteria; Pseudomonadati; Pseudomonadota; Alphaproteobacteria; Hyphomicrobiales.